RNAcentral lists this ribosomal RNA (452 nucleotides) under uncultured bacterium. Its description in RNAcentral is "bacterial SSU rRNA". It matches the Rfam family "Bacterial small subunit ribosomal RNA", at positions 49 to 518 of the family's 1533-position model. The record is from RNAcentral.
UAACACAUGCAAGUCGAGCGAGGAGAUCCUCGGGAUGAUCCUAGCGGCGGACGGGUGAGUAACACGUGGGCAACCUGCCUCAUAGAGAGGAAUAGCCUUCCGAAAGGGAGAUUAAUACCUCAUAACAUUGCAGUUUCGCAUGAAACAGCAAUUAAAGGAGCAAUCCGCUAUGAGAUGGGCCCGCGGCGCAUUAGCUAGUUGGUGAGGUAACGGCUCACCAAGGCGACGAUGCGUAGCCGACCUGACGAGGGUGAUCGGCCACAUUGGGACUGAGACACGGCCCAGACUCCUACGGGAGGCAGCAGUGGGGAAUAUUGCACAAUGGGGGAAACCCUGAUGCAAGCAACGCCGCGUGAGUGAUGACGGCCUUCGGGUUGUAAAGCUCUGUCUUCAGGGACGAUAAUGACGGUACCUGAGGAGGAAGCCACGGCUAACUACGUGCCAGCCGCUGC